UAGUACAAUUACUAAGCCAUUUCUACAGACUUAUUAACACUACGACAUAUGUACAUACAUAACGCGCUGAUAUGAAAUAUGGUUUUUGGGAAGAAUAAGUGGCAAAUUAACUGUGUUUAGUAAUUCGAAAUUUAUUAGAAUGAGAACAGAAUACCCAUGGCUGGCUUUACGAAAGCUAAAAUGCUUCAAUGAACUGAAAUGAAAGGCAAAUGUAUAUAAUGAAAAUAUUAUAAAUCGGAUGGCAAUGCAAAGGAGGACGCCGGUUGUUUAUUAAUACGAAUGGGGCACGCCAAGCUGAGCAUCAUUCAAAUGAUUGGCAAACGAAAUCGUAUUGAGGGAGAGCCAUGCCUCAUUGGCACUUAGAGCAGCGGGGCGGGGGGAAUGCAUUUCAAUUUAAGUAUCUAUGAAGUUGAAGCCGACUAUUUCGACUACCGAAAUUGUGCAAAUCAAUAUGAAGCGAGGUGCCGAGCAGUGACUAUUACCUGCAUUCAGGUUCUGGGCAGAAACAGACACUAAAUUGCCAUACGACAUCCCUGGUUUCAAUUGGAUGGUAUCCAUUCAAUAUGUGGGAUGUUUUUAGCACAAUCUUUUCCGUCGACUGAUUCUUUUGUGUUCCUCUAUUGAAAUGGAUCUUUGCCUUCCGCGCUGCCCCUUUGCUGUCUGUCUGCCACACGCAAGCAAAGUGUCGCAAAGUGUUGCGAAUGAUCAAAGCGAAAGACGGACACUUGAAAUCUGCUGCAGCAGUGAGUGCAGUGCCAAAGCGGAAACUGCCUUCAGUUAUGGCACAAAGCGACAGCAAAACAGCAACUAGAAUCAAGGAGAAGAGACAGCAGCCGCACCAGGAGGAGGCGUCGCUACUUGACACCUAGUCGGGUGACUCCCCAAGUAGACCGCGGGUCUCGUGGGGCUAGCGGGAGCCGCGGUACUCGCGAGGCAGCCAACAAGUGUUUAGCAUUUUGAUUUCAGUGCAAUUAAAACGCUCAGCUCAGUUGGCAGCGCUCGUCUACGGUCUUUGUUGUUGUUGUCGCCGCCUCCA
Molecule: small RNA, 1036 nt
Filed under: Drosophila mojavensis
Lineage: Eukaryota; Metazoa; Arthropoda; Insecta; Diptera; Drosophilidae
Description: GI25566
Source: RNAcentral